RNAcentral lists this long non-coding RNA (291 nucleotides) under Drosophila guanche. Lineage: Eukaryota; Metazoa; Arthropoda; Insecta; Diptera; Drosophilidae. The record is from RNAcentral.
CAUGCCUUCUGUAUUAACAAAUUCUCGAGUACUUAUGUAUGCGGAUGAUGUUAUGCUCUGUGUCCAGUAUAAGGACAUUUCAUUUCACUCUCGGUUGCAAUCAGAUCUCAAUAUCUUUCAGUCAUGGUGCUGUGCAAAUAUGUUACAACUUAAUGCCUCGAAAUGCAAUGUAAUGACUUUUUAUCGCUCCAACCCCUUCCUGGCUCCUUACACCCUCUGCGGUAGUUCUCUUGAGAGAAUUACAUUGGAUAAUGAUCUAGGUGUUAAACUAGACCCCAAUUUAAAGUUUUC